CCUGAUGUAGAUCAGCGGUAGAUCGCCCGGCUGUCAACCGGGAGGGCGCGAGUUCGAAUCUCGCCAUCAGGU
RNAcentral lists this transfer RNA (72 nucleotides) under Allokutzneria albata. Its description in RNAcentral is "Kibdelosporangium albatum tRNA". It matches the Rfam family "tRNA". Rfam says of the family: Transfer RNA (tRNA) molecules are approximately 80 nucleotides in length. Their secondary structure includes four short double-helical elements and three loops (D, anti-codon, and T loops). Lineage: Bacteria; Bacillati; Actinomycetota; Actinomycetes; Pseudonocardiales; Pseudonocardiaceae. The record is from Rfam by way of RNAcentral.